CCGGUGACCGCCACCGAGGACGUCAGGGCUAGACGGGCAGUCCCGUCUGGAUUUUUCCAUUUUAAUUUCAGUCUCGUCUAACUCAUUUUGUUUAAUAAACGGUUGUGGGUUUCUGAGGGAAACUUUUCGAGUUAUUAUUUAAAAAUUCCCGAUUCUCCAAGUCCGGCUCCCAGUUAGGGCAACCAUCCCUAACAGUGGCCGAGAUGGGUGUUAUUGAAACAUAUCAGGGUCUCUAGAGAAAUCAGAAUGUGAAUUAGUAGCCUUGAUGUUAUGAAGUAUGAUGUUGAUGAAUUAGUUGAUCUUGACGUUGACUUGAGACAUACAUCCAAUUGGGCUGAUGGUGGAGUAAAUGUAUCAGACAAAGGUCAUGGAAAGUGUCGUUCGAUAAUUGUUCGUUGUAUUAUGACGCUCUGGUAGAUGGUAUAAAUCUGAUCAAUUGGGAGAGCGGAGAAGAUUGUCUAGAUUGAAGUCGAUUUAUGCUAAUCCUGAAUUUAGCCAUGACGAACGCUCCGGAAGGUCAUAUAUUUCUAAUUCAUAAAAUCAAGUGUCAGUCCUGCAAAUGAAUAAUGACUCAAAGUGAAUGAUAAAGAAGGUGUCUUAGAUGGAUCGGUGUUUUAUAUAUCGAUUCUCAACGUUAAUUCAUGAAAAGAGGAAGAUCUGAAUGCGUAAUGAUGACUCUCCAAGGACAAUAAGAAAGAUCUAAAUUUUAAAAAAAG
Ceratina calcarata is the source of this 716-nucleotide long non-coding RNA. RefSeq lists it as uncharacterized. Lineage: Eukaryota; Metazoa; Arthropoda; Insecta; Hymenoptera; Apidae. The transcript has 4 exons. The record is from RefSeq and is a predicted model, not a curated record.